GCGCUCUAGUGGACUAGUGGUUAGAGCGUCUGCCUUGGAUGCGGGAGGUCGUGGGUUCGAUAGCUAAUAGCUGCCUCGCUUGGCGCU
Potamilus streckersoni is the source of this 87-nucleotide non-coding RNA. Lineage: Eukaryota; Metazoa; Mollusca; Bivalvia; Unionida; Unionidae. The record is from the annotation of a GenBank genome assembly.